GUUUUAGAGUUGAGGAACUUUGAACCGCAACUCUGCUGUAUCCACACCGCGACCGGCGCGCGCGCUAAAGCAGUCGUAUAAACUCGGCAGUUUCCGGAAAACCGAAGCAGCUAACGCUGCUGAAAAAAACAGCUAAAACCAGCCUAAGCUGGUUGGCUGGUCUUAGCUGGUCUAUCAGCCUGGUCAUAGCUGGUAGAGCAGGCUGGUUUUAGAGGGGUUUUGGCCACUUUUUUUUUUUUUUUUUAGCUGGUUAGGCUGGUCUUAGCUGGUCAGUGUUGGUCAGGCUGGUCUUAGCUGGUCAGUGUUGGUCAGGCUGGUCUUAGAUGGUCAGUGUUGGUCAGGCUGGUCUUAGCUGGUCAGUGUUGGUCAGGCUGGUCUUAGAUGGUCAGUGUUGGUCAGGCUGGUCUUAGCUGGUCAGUGUUGGUCAGGCUGGUCUUAGCUGGUCAUAGUUAAUCAGACUUAACUGCUGAUGUUGGCUGGGUAACAUAUAAGACUAAUUCAUUGUAUUUUUAAAAAAAAUGCUAAAUAUUCACUGAUUGAUCUGAUUGACAGUCCGUUUGAUUAACUGAUCACAUGAUGUCUUUUAUUUUUCCUGUCACUGGGUGUUGCGAAGUAUACUUUAAAUAAUCU
Molecule: long non-coding RNA, 630 nt
Organism: Ictalurus punctatus (channel catfish)
Lineage: Eukaryota; Metazoa; Chordata; Actinopteri; Siluriformes; Ictaluridae
Source: Ensembl